Long non-coding RNA from Arabidopsis lyrata subsp. lyrata, 497 nucleotides. RefSeq lists it as uncharacterized. The transcript is spliced from 2 exons. Lineage: Eukaryota; Viridiplantae; Streptophyta; Magnoliopsida; Brassicales; Brassicaceae. The record is from RefSeq and is a predicted model, not a curated record.
CGUCCACGAUCUAUUUAUUUCUUUGGUUUUAUAGCCACCAAUGGAUCAAUCGUUAGCAAACUAACACAAACCUUAAGCUCUUUAUUGUCUUUCUUCUUCGAAUUCAAAACCUUGAGCUCUUUAUUGUCUUUCUUCUUCGAAUUCAAAACCUUGACCUGUACAGAGAACGAAAAAUGUAAGAUAAACAUGUUGAGAAGAAUAUAUGACGGGGGUACAAAGGCAUUCUCCCAUGAAAUUACAAAAAGUUUUGUGGCAAGAUAAAAUCAAUCUCUUGCGCUCCUUUGGUUGAAGAGUUACCCAAAUUUUAAUGUACUUACAGGCGGUGGUUUGAUACACUCUCUUUUUUUCAACUGUUCAAGUUAUGAGUUUUUUGUCAAUUACUUUAAGAAUUCUUGAUUACAUAAAUUGUUUUACUGAUAAAUUUUCUUGCCAUUUGAAUUUUUGUAAUCCCAAUCAUCUGUAUUUUUAAUACUAUUUGUUAUUACAUUUUGGUUAAA